GAACAGAACAGAACAGAAAACUAGGGUCGACCCAUACGCCUCCCAUAACAAAACACCAAAUGGCCAACUCCCACCGGAGAACAAACCGGAGACGUCGUGGACUGAUCACACCGCCACGGAAGGUGUCAUGCCUCGGUGCCAAGAGGACAUGCCUGUGGUACCCCCACAGGUGGUUAUAGCUCAGGUAUACCCUACGGUAUAUUCUAACAAAAACAUCAUGUCACAACACAUGUGACAUAAUAUUAACACAAAAAGGGUUCUAAUAUGUGCAUAUUAAACUGAAAUGAAUCAUCAACUCAAAGUCUUCAAACAUAUACUAACAUGCACAUUACUACAAAUAUCAAAAUAAAUUUAGACAUGUUGUACUAGUCUAAAGAGUACAAAUAUGUGUUCCAACUAUGAACGCCAACCGAAACUAUCACAAUGAAUUUGAUAAGGAAUAAUAAUGAGAGGCAAUACUAAAUUUCAAAACGAAUAACGAAAUGAACAACUUAAAAAUAAAAGAGUCUCGCUGAAAAAGUACGAAAUUCGUACUUGGAUUAAGCAAUGGAAUAACCAAAAUUCCAAUAAAACUCGUUUAGAUUCUCUCCGUUCAAUCUAAAUAAUUUAAUAAAAUUUUAUUAUAAUCCAAUCAUUAAUAACAUAAUACUAUUAAAUUUAUUAUUAAAGACUUUUAUAACUAUGACGGCAAAAUUAAUUAAUUCGAAUUAAUAUACAUAACUUUAAUUGAUUUACUAAAUCCGUUAUAAGUUUUACGACCAAAAAUUUAUUAACACAAUAUAUAUAUAUAUAUAUAUAUAUAUAUAUAUAAAUUAACUAACAUGUAAUAUAUUNNNNNNNNNNNNNNNNNNNNNNNNNNNNNNNNNNNNNNNNNNNNNNNNNNNNNNNNNNNNNNNNNNNNNNNNNNNNNNNNNNNNNNNNNNNNNNNNNNNNAGUAAGUUUAAUAUCUUCCGUCCAACAAGUAAUCUGACAAACUUAUAUAUAUAUAUAUAUAUAUAUAUAUAUAUAUAUUCAAGUAAUAUGUACCAGCAAUCAUGUAAUAUAUAUACAUGUAUAUCACCCAAAAAGGAAUCCAAAAAAAUGAACAAGAAUGAAAUUAAGGUUUGGUGGAAGAAAUAUUAAAUCAUAUAUAGCUGUACGGAAUUCAAAGACAGAAUCUUUCUUUAAUUAUACUGAUCUAAUAUGGUUACAUAUCUUACCCAAAAAAAAUCCAAACAGAUCCUGCUCAUUGUAAACUAUAUGCUCGGCAAAACAAUUCAAUAAAAGGUUUAAUUUACCUUUGCAACAACACUUAAAUUGUCAAUUCCCUUUUCCUUUCUAUUAAUGCUGCCGCAGCUUCUCUUCUUCUUUUCCCUCAGUUUGUAUCAGACGUGAUGUUGAGUAAAUUAGGUUUUAGAUAUUUAUUCACUAAAAAAACAUAUUUUAUUAAUUAAUAUAAUAUAAUUAUUAACUCUCCAAAUUUUAAUAGAACUUUAAAAUUACACCAUUAAAAAAUUAGACCCACUUAAUUUAAAGCCCAAAUUUAUCAACUUAAUUUAUUCAUCAUUUAUUAAUACUUAUUAGUCCAAAAGUAAAUGACUAGUUUGACCCAAAUAAAAGACAAAGUACAAUUAAUAUAGUUUAAAACAAAAUAAUUUUUAUUAUUAAAUAUUUAUUUAUUAUUAUUCUUAUUUUUUUUUCGGGUAUUACAUCACCUACCCCUUAAAAAGGAUUCCGUCCCCAGAAUCAAAAGAAUAGAACGUACCUAAUUUUCAAAGAUAUGCGGAUACUCCACUCAAAUAGACUCCUCCAUCUCCUCUGUGGCUUCCCGCUCCGAAUGAUUUUUUCACAAAACCUUAAUAAACGAAAUAGCCUUCCUCCUCGUAAUCCGCUCUUGACAAUCCAAAAUCGCCUCGGCUUGCUCAUCACAAAUGAGAUCCUCUCGAAUCUUAUCGAAUGGAUAUUGCACCACGUGCAACGGAUGAUAAUGAUAACUCCUCAACACUGACACAUGGAACACAUUGUGCACAUAAGCUAGCUGUGGAGGCAAAGCUAACCGAUAUGCAACUUCACCAACCCUCUCCAAAAUCUCAAAUGGGCCAAUAUAACGCGGACUAAGUUUCCCUUUCAACCCAAAUCGCUGAAUGCCCUUCCAAGGAGAAACUUUUAGAAACACAUGUUCACCAGGUUCAAACUCUAGAGUCCUUCUAUGCUUAUCAGCAUAACACUUCUGCCGUGAUCGAGCCGACUUUAAUUUCUCCUUAGCCACAGCUACCUUCUCCGUAGUGAUUUGAACUAACUCAGGCCCUUCUAUGGCCCUUUCGCCAACCUCAUCCCAACAAGUUGGUGCCCGGCACUUUCUAACAUACAAGGCCUUAAAAGGAGCCAUUCCAAUACUUGCAUGCCAGCUGUUAUUAUAAGCAAACUCAACUAGGCUCAAGUAAUCAUCCCAAUUACCCGACCAUUCAAGUGCACAAGACCUCAACAUGUCCUCUAAUGUUUGAAUAGUCCGUUCUAAUUGCCCAUCAGUUUCCGGAUGAAAAGAAGUACUGAAGUUGAGCCGAGUGUCCCAAGCUCAUUGAAACCCUUUCCAAAACCGUCAAGUAAACCGUGGGUCCCGAUCUGAAACAAUAGACACCGGAGUACCAUGAAGUCUAACAAUCUCCUGCUGAAAGAUAUGUGCCAACCUAUCCACCGAGUAACCCUCAUGGAUAGCCAAAAAGUGUGCCAAUUUGGUCAGCCGGUCCACCACUACCCAAAUGGCAUCAUUCUUCUUGAAAGUCUUUGGCAAACCAGUCACAAAGUCCAUUGUGAUAUCCUCCCACUUCUACACUGGAAUGUCUAACUGUUGUAACAACCCACUAGCUCGUUGAUGUUCUAUCUUCACUUGUUGACAAGUGAGGCACUCCCCAACAUAUUCAGCCACGUCUCGUUUCAUCCCAUUCCACCAAAAAUUCUUCUUCAAAUCCGUAUACAUCUUUGUAGAACCUGGAUGAAUAGAAAAUGGCGAACUAUGAGCCUCAGCCAACACUGCCUCCCGAAUAAUUGGAUCGGAUGGUACACACAAUCACUCACCCAACUAAAUCACACCGUGGUCAUUAAUACGAAACUCGGGUUGCUUGCCCUCCUCUAGAUUCUGUGUCAGACCCCACAACUCCCCAUCUUCUUUUUGAGCUUCUUUAACCCGCGAGAUAAGAGAAGGCUCCACUCUCAUACCCGCUAAAUGCCCAUCUGAACCUCGUACAUACAACUCCAACUCGAGCCGCUCCAUAUCCAAAAUAAGCUGAGGUUGUGUAAUAAGAGCUGCUACACUCCCUGAAUUCUUUCGGCUAAGAGCAUCUGCAACCACAUUUCCCUUCCCCGGGUGAUACAGAAUUCUAGCAUCAUAAUCUUUUAGAAGCUCCAACCAACGCCUCUGCCUCAUAUUGAGCUCCUUUUGAGUGAAGAUGUAUUUAAGACUUUUGUGAUCGAUGAAGAUAUCACAAGUCUCUCCAUACAAAUAAUGCCUCCAAAUUUUUAGGGCAAAGAUCAUGGCUGCCAACUCCAAAUCAUGAGUGGGGUAGAUCACCUCAUAAGGUUUAAGCUGCCUAGAAGCAUAAGCAAUCACUUUACCGUGUUGCAUCAAAACACACCCUAAACCCUUCUUAGAAGCAUCACUUUAAAUCUGGUAACCUCCUGUCCCCGACGGUAAUGCAAGUAUAGGAGCUGUCACAAGUCGUUUCUUCAACUCCUUAAAACUCUUCUCACGCUCCUCAUUCCACACAAACUUUGUGCCCUUUCUCAUCAAUUGAGUCAAUGGUAAGGCAAACAAAGAGAAUCCUUCCACAAAUCACCUAUAAUACCCUGCCAAACCCAAGAAACUCCUAAUCUCCGUCACUGUAGUAGGUCUCGGCCAUUUAGUGAUAGCCUCAACCUUCACAGGAUCCACCUUAAUGCCUUCAGCAGAAACAACGUGGCCCAAAAAUUCAACCUGCUCUAACCAAAACUCGUAUUUAGAGAAUUUAGCAUACAACUUCUCUUUCUGCAAAAUCCCCAACACUGUGUGAAGAUGCUCAUCAUGCUCUUCUUUAGACUUGGAGUAAACCAAAUGUCAUCAAUAAAGACAAUAACAAAUUGGUCCAAGUACUCCCUGAACACCCGAUUCAUUAAAUCCAUAAACACCGUCGGAGUAUUAGUCAACCCGAAUAGCAUCACCAGAAACUCGUAAUGCCCAUAUCGAGUGCAAAAAGCUGUCUAAGAGAUAUCCUCAUCCCUCACCCUCAACUGAUGAUAGCCCGACCUCAAGUCCAUCUUUGAAAAAUAUUUUGCCCCCUGAAGUUGGUCAAACAAGUCAUCAAUCCUCGACAAUGGAUACCGAUUCCUGAAGUUGAUCUUGUUCAACUCCCUGUAGUCUAUACACAGCCUCAUAGACCCAUCCUUCUUCUUCACAAACAAGACUGGAGCACCCCACGGUGAAACACUCGGCUGAAUCACACCACGAUCUAAAAGCUCCUGCAACUACUCCUUUAACUCUUGUAACUCCAACGGUGCCAUCUGAUACGGCGCCUUAGAGAUAGGCUUCGCACUAGGAACAAGAUCAAUAUCAAACUCUACUUCCCGCUGUGGUGGCAACCCUGACAACUCCUCAGGAAACACAUCGAAAAAAUCAUGAACAAUUGGAACAUCCUCAAUACGGGACUCACCCUUAGAGGUAUCCUUUACAAACACCAAAUACCCCUCAUAACCCUUUGCUACCAACUUCCCAGCCUUCAAAGCUGAAAUCAUCUUCAACACCCUACUCGGCUGUGAACCCUGAAAUACGAACUCUGGAGACUUCACAUCUCCAAAUAUAACCUUCUUCGCCUGACAAUCGAUAGUGGCUUGGUGUUUAUCCAACCAGUAUAUCCCAAGAAUGACAUCAAAAUCAUGCAUACUCAUCGGAAGAAGAUUAGCCCUACGAAUCUUAUCUCCAAAACUGAUCGGACACUCUUGAUACAAAUCAGAAAUAACAACAGAAGUCCCCAUCGGGGUAGCAAUAGACAUAACAGAAUCUAAAGACUGAGAUGGCACACCCAGGUGCCGAACAAGAGACUGAGCAACAACGGAAUGAGUAGAACCCGUAUCAAAUAAAAUAGACGCCUCACGAUUGCCAACUAAGAGAGUGCCAGACACAGUACCCGGUGUACCUGCCGCCUGGUUAUACGUCAAAGAAAACACUCGACCCCUGAUGCUGACCCCCAUUGCCACCAUUAUCACCACCUCCACCAUUACCACGUGGCCCGGUACAAUAUCUAGCCAUAUAACCCAUUUGUCCACACAAGAAACAUGCACCGAUGAGUCUAUGGAACUGCCUCCCCGGAUGAUUAGCCCCACAAGUAGCACAAGGAGCUAUCAGAAUGAGAUUUGGGUUACCCCCACCAGCUGGUCCUGGAUAACGACCCUGAUUUUGCUCCUGCAGACGAUUAUGCCCCUGCUAACGAUUCUGUCCAUACCAAGGUAGCUGAAGUUGACGAUUAUGCCCCUGCUGAGGCAUCUGCUGAUAACCCCUGUUCUGAUUCUGGCCACGCCAUUACCCCUGCUGACCACCACGGUUCCGGUUCCACUGACCACCCAGAUUCUUUCAGUGCUGACCCGAAGUUUGACCCGGCUGGUCUUUUCUAUCCCUCUUUCGACUUCCCUCUGGUUUAGAAGACCGAAAGUCCUGUCGCUCCAUCUCAAUAUUCUUGGACGCAUUGGCCACUGCUGACACAUCUGCAAACUUGUUGUUAAUAAGAUGCUGGUGAUACCUAUAAUGAAUCCGCCACUUUAACUUCUCCACCUAUUCUGUUGCAGUCCCUGCUGAGGUUCCCGCAAAGCCUACCAACCUAGUGAACGUCAUCAUGAAAUCUGUGAUGAACUCAUCAUCUUUCUGCCGAAUAGACAGAUACUCUCUGGCAUAGGCCUCUUUAUCAGUAGCUGGAAAAUACUGUUGAUAAAAGACCUCACAAAACUCAGCCCAACCAAGUGUUUCAACAUAACCAUCACCUUUUGUUGUUUUCAUCGCUUUCCACCACCUCUGUGCAUCCCCUUCUAGCUUGUAAAUUGAAAGUAACACUUUCUGAUUAUUCGAACACCCUAACACAUCAAAAAUCUUCUCCAGAUGAGCAAUCCAAUUCUCUGCGUCAAUUGGAGUCGGGGCAUAACUGAAUGACUGUGGUUUCUGCUUCUGAGACCUUUCCAACCACACAUACAUUGGAACCACCUGCUGAUCAAUACCAUCUGCAUUCCCUUCCUCUUCGUUUGCCUAUAGACCAUUAUUUCCCCAGUUCUCCUGCUCAGGAAUCUCUGGUGGCGGCUGCUGCAUUGCCUGUACAACCUGUGCCACCAACUGAGGUAACGCCUGAUUCACAGCCUGAUUCACUAAGGUAGCCAACUGAGCAUUAAUCUGAUCAUUAGGUUGCUCAUUGGACUGACCCUCAGCUCUUCCCCUAUUGUUACCUCGACUCCCAGCAACUCUGGCGGAUCUACGAGCCAUCUAACAAAGAGAUCAACAAAUAGAUAACAAAGCAGAUUAGAGACAGAUUCAAAUAUAACUGAUAUGAUAGCUGAACAGAAAAUUAAACAGAACAAAAACCUAACCCAGAAGUCUACCCAUAACUCACAGGUCAAACCUAAAUAGGUUUUCUACAAGAAAGAACCUGGCUCUGAUACCAACUCUGUAACACUCCCUUUUUGAAAUGGAAAGAGAGUUUACACAAAACUCAACAAAACUAAUGAAUAUAUAUAUAACAAGGCUCUAAAUCACAAAAGAAUAAUCUCAUAAUGAUUUAAUGUCAUAAGACAAACCAUAAUAAAUGCCACACUGGCUCAAACCACAAUCUGAACUAAUUAUUAAAACUCUAAAUAGAUCAAUCUAUCAUAGCCUAACAAAAUAUAAAUAAACCAUUGGAUAGAAGGGAGCUCUCAUCACACUUGCCCUUGAUCCCCCUGAUUACCUGUCGGAAGAAAAACACAGCAUGAGCCAACUGCCCAGUACGGAUAUAGAAUAAAAGAAUAAUGAAACGAAAUAACUAACACAAUUAAUUGAACUGAACUGUAACGAACAAAACCAACACAACGAAAUGAUAGGCUGAAUCAAAUGGCUGGGUGUUAUUUCAUACCGAGCUCAAAAUAAAUAGUAAUAUACCUUGCCACACAGGCAAGUCAAAUAAUGCCACACAGGCAAUCAAAAUAAUGCCACACAUGCAAUCACAGAUCGGACUGCACAAUCCAGAUGCGUGCAAAAUUGGAAGGUGUGUUUGGCACAAACAUCACCACUCCACAGAAUAGAAAAGAACAGAAAACUAGGGUCGACCCAUACGCCUCCCACAACAAAACACCAAAUGGCCAACUCCCACCGGAGCACAAACCGGAGACGCCGUGGACUGAUCACACCGCCACGGAAGGUGUCAUGCCUCGGUGCCAAGAGGACAUGCCUGUGGUACCCCCACAGGUGGUUAUAGCUCAGGUAUACCCUACGGUAU
This 7460-nucleotide long non-coding RNA is filed under the name Panax ginseng (ginseng). RNAcentral describes it as "long non-coding RNA (PGIN_LNC004222)". The record is from RNAcentral. Lineage: Eukaryota; Viridiplantae; Streptophyta; Magnoliopsida; Apiales; Araliaceae.